RNAcentral lists this ribosomal RNA (253 nucleotides) under uncultured bacterium. RNAcentral's name for it is "partial 16S ribosomal RNA". It matches the Rfam family "Bacterial small subunit ribosomal RNA", at positions 524 to 776 of the family's 1533-position model. The record is from RNAcentral.
UACGUAGGGUGCAAGCGUUAAUCGGAAUUACUGGGCGUAAAGCGUGCGCAGGCGGUUUUGUAAGUCUGUUGUGAAAUCCCCGGGCUUAACCUGGGAAUGGCAAUGGAGACUGCAAGGCUAGAGUUUGGCAGAGGGGGGUAGAAUUCCACGUGUAGCAGUGAAAUGCGUAGAUAUCGGGAGGAACACCAGUGGCGAAGGCGGUUGCCUGGAGCUUUGCUGACGCUGAUGCGCGAAAGCGUGGGGAGCGAUCCGG